This 482-nucleotide ribosomal RNA is filed under the name uncultured bacterium. RNAcentral's name for it is "partial 16S ribosomal RNA". It matches the Rfam family "Bacterial small subunit ribosomal RNA", at positions 30 to 507 of the family's 1533-position model. The record is from RNAcentral.
AUUAAACGCUGGCGGCAUGCUUUACACAUGCAAGUCGAACGGUAACAGGCCGCAAGGUGCUGACGAGUGGCGAACGGGUGAGUAAUGCAUCGGAACGUGCCCAGUCGUUGGGGAUAACUACUCGAAAGAGUAGCUAAUACCUCAUACGAUCUAUGGAUGAAAGCGGGGGACCGUAAGGCCUCGCGCGAUUUGAGCGGCCGAUGUCAGAUUAGGUAGUUGGUGGGGUAAAGGCUCACCAAGCCAACGAUCUGUAGCUGGUCUGAGAGGACGACCCGCCACACUGGAACUGAGACACGGCCCAGACUCCUACGGGAGGCAGCAGUGGGGAAUUUUGGACAAUGGGCGCAAGCCUGAUCCAGCAAUGCCACGUGAAGGAAGAAGGCCUUCGGGUUGUAAACUGCUUUUGUACGGAACGAAACGGCUCUGGUUAAUACCCGGGGCUAAUGACGGUACCGGAAGAAUAAGCACCGGCUAACUACGUG